GACGAACGCUGGCGGCGUGCUUAACACAUGCAAGUCGAACGGCAACGCCCUGCUUCUGUGUGGUGCUCGGGUGGCGAACGGGUGAGUAACACGUGCGUAACCUGGCCUUUUCUUUUGGAUAACUUCGUGGAACUGGUUAUGAUACCGGCUCAGAGUUCCUGCUGCGGGGAGGGGGUUGGCAAGUUUCGGCGGUUGGGGAUAGACGCCCGGGUUAUCUGCUUGUUGGGGGGGUAUUGGAUUACCACGGGUUUGCGGGGUAGCCGGCCUGAGAGGGUGAACGGCCACAUGGGGACUGAGAGACGGCCCAGAGUCGUACGUGAGGCAGCAGUGGGGAAUAUUGCACAAUGGGCGGAAGCCUGAGGCAGCAACGCCGCGUGCGGGAUGACGGUCUUCGGGUGAUAAACCGCUAUCGCCUGUGACGAAGCGUGAGUGACGGUAAUGGGUAAAGAAGCACCGGCUAACUACGUG
Molecule: ribosomal RNA, 468 nt
Filed under: uncultured bacterium
Lineage: Bacteria
Description: partial 16S ribosomal RNA
Rfam family: Bacterial small subunit ribosomal RNA
Source: RNAcentral